CCCCUAGUAACGGCGAGUGAAGAGGGAAAAGCUCAAAUUUUGAAUCUGGUGUCUUUGACUCCCGAGUUGUAAUCUAGAGAAGUGUUUUCCGUGUCGGACCGUGCACAAGUUCCCUGGAACGGGGCGUCAUAGAGGGUGAGAAUCCCGUAUAUGGCACGGACUGCCGAUGCUCUGUGAUACACUCUCAACGAGUCGAGUUGUUUGGGAAUGCAGCUCAAAAUGGGUGGUAAAUUCCAUCUAAAGCUAAAUAUUGGCGAGAGACCGAUAGCGAACAAGUACCGUGAGGGAAAGAUGAAAAGCACUUUGGAAAGAGAGUGAAACAGUACGUGAAAUUGUUGAAAGGGAAGCGUUUGAAGUCAGUCAUGUCUGGC
Molecule: ribosomal RNA, 371 nt
Filed under: uncultured Sebacinales
Lineage: Eukaryota; Fungi; Basidiomycota; Agaricomycetes; Sebacinales
Description: eukaryotic LSU rRNA
Rfam family: Eukaryotic large subunit ribosomal RNA
Source: RNAcentral